Molecule: long non-coding RNA, 1805 nt
Organism: Zonotrichia leucophrys gambelii
Lineage: Eukaryota; Metazoa; Chordata; Aves; Passeriformes; Passerellidae
Exons: 4
Source: RefSeq, a predicted model, not a curated record
CAGGAACAGAGAAGGGCAGGCGAGUUGGCGUUUAGGCAGGCUGACUCAUAGGUCCCCUGAGGAGGCUUGUAGCCAAAGCUUGGAAAUGGCAGCACCGAAGCACACAUGGAGCACAUCUCAACGUCCACAUCCAGCCGAGGCUGGAUUUUGUCCACUCCUCUUCCAAAAGCUGAGUGUUGGGGCCAGUGGUUGGGAGAAGGGGAAAAACCUUUACUGUCACAGGAGGCAAUCUGAUGUCAGCUUAGUGGAGAGGUCUGUAGUGGGACAGGCUCUCUGGAAGUAAAGGGAGAGGGUUUCUCCUCGGCCUCACCAGAGCCUUUGCCAGGCAGGGCAUUUCCGACCCAUCUCCACGUUCAUGUGAACUUUGCGUCGUCAGCCUUCCUCGACUCGACACCGUCAUGGAUCUUUACCCCGAGGAGCUCGCCUUCAGGUCCCCGACGCUGCUGACUUCCCCAGGAUCUGCCAUUUAUGUCAAGGAGCGGCAGCCAGAAGAUGUGUCAAAGCACGUUCUUCAGUGUCUCAGGUUUUGCAACUCAUUGUUAAAUUUAGAAUAAAAAAUCCCAGCUGCCUUCCCCCCCGCCGCGGCUGUUUUUUUUUUCUUGGUCCUGGUCGGGUAAAAAACCAGAAAAAUACCCCAAGAUAGGCGAGAAAAGACCCAAAAAAACCCCAAGAUGGGCAAGAAGAACCCAGGAAAAAACCCCAAGAUGGGCAACAAAAAAACCCCACAAAAACCCAGGAAAAAAACCUCAAGAUGGGCAAGAAAAAAUCAAGAAAAAAAUCAGAACAAUCCCAGGAAAAAACCUCGAGGUGGGCAAGAGCAAACCCAGAAAAAAAACCUAAAAAAAACGAAGAUGGGCAAGAAAAAAAACAAGAAAAAAAUCCCAGAAAAACCCCCAAAAUGGGCAAAAAUAACCCAGAAAAAACCCUCAAGACGGGCAAGAAAAAUACCCAGAAAAAAACCCAAAGAGGGACAAGGAAAAAUCAACAAAAAAAGCGGAAAAUCACAGAAAAAAACCCCAAGAUGGGCAAGAACAAUCCCAGAAAGAAACCCCAAGAUGGGCAAGAACAAUCCCAGAAAAAAACCAGAAAAAACCAAGGAAAAAAAAACCCAGGAAAAAAACCCGAAAAAACCCCCAAGAUGGGCAAGAAAAAUCCAGAAAAAAACCCUGAAAAAAACCCCCAAGAGAGGCAAGACAAAAUCCCAGGAAAAAAAACCCCAAGAUGGGCAAGAAAAAAUCAACAAAAACCCCAAAAAACUCACAGAAAAAAACCCCCAGACAGUCAAGAAAAAAACCAGAAAACUCCCACAGAAAAUACUGAGAAAAAACCCAAGAUGGGGGCAAGAAUAAAUCCAGAAAAAACCCCCAAGACAGGCAAGAAAAAACCAGGGAAAAUCCCAAAAUGGGCAAGAACAACCUCCCACAAAAUCGGCCGUAAAGCGCGACUGUCGUAAAAGGUGCCGUAAAGCGCGACUGUCGUAAAAGCGGCCGUAAAGCGCGACUGUCGUAAAACUGCCGUAAAGCGCGACUGUCGUAAAAGCGGCCGUAAAGCGCGACUGUCGUAAAAACUGCCGUAAAGCGCGACUGUCGUAAAAGCGGCCGUAAAGCGCGACUGUCGUAAAAUCGGCCGUAAAGCGCGACUGUAGUAAAAGCGGCCGUAAGGCGCGACUGUCGUAAAAGGUGCCGUAAAGCGCGACUGUCGUAAAACAGCCGUAAAGCGCGACUGUCGUAAAAGCGGCCGUAAAGCGCGACUGUCGUAAAAUCGGCCGUAAAGCGCGACUGUCGUAAAAGGGGCCGUAAAGCGCG